CGGGUCUUGUACUCACCGCCCGUCACACCAUGGGAGUUGAUUUCACUCGAAGCCGGAAUACUAAACUAGUUACCGUCCACAGUGGAAUCAGCGACUGGGGUGAAGUCGUAACAAGGUAACCGUAGGAGAACCUGCGGUUGGAUCACCUCCUUUCUAG
RNAcentral lists this ribosomal RNA (157 nucleotides) under Campylobacter jejuni. Its description in RNAcentral is "partial 16S ribosomal RNA". It matches the Rfam family "Bacterial small subunit ribosomal RNA", at positions 1375 to 1533 of the family's 1533-position model. Lineage: Bacteria; Pseudomonadati; Campylobacterota; Epsilonproteobacteria; Campylobacterales; Campylobacteraceae. The record is from RNAcentral.